This 658-nucleotide ribosomal RNA is filed under the name uncultured archaeon. RNAcentral describes it as "bacterial SSU rRNA". It matches the Rfam family "Archaeal small subunit ribosomal RNA", at positions 104 to 761 of the family's 1478-position model. The record is from RNAcentral.
UUAACAUGCCCUUAAGCCUGGGAUAAUUUCGGGAAACUGAAGCUAAUACCAGAUAGAUAAGAGGUACUGGAAUGUCCUCUUAUCCAAAGAUUUAUCGCUUAAGGAUUGGACUGCUCCGGAUUAGGUUGUUGAUAGGGUAACGUCCUGUCAAGCCGAUAAUCCGUACGAGCCUUGAGAGAGGAAGCUCGGAGAUGGAUUCUGAGACAAGAAUCCAGGCCCUACGGGGCGCAGCAGGCGCGAAACUUUCCCAAUGCACGAAAGUGUGAGGAAGGGAUUCGGAGUGCUUUCCCUUACAUAGGGGAAGCUUUUGUAGAGUGUAAAAAGCUUUAAGAAUAAGUGGUGGGUAAGACGGGUGCCAGCCGCCGCGGUAAUACCCGCGCCACGAGUGAUGACCACGUUUAUUGGGCUUAAAGCGUUCGUAGCCGGCCCAGUAAGUCCUUAGUGAAAUCCCGCAGCCAACUGUGGGGCUUGCUAGGGAAACUGCUGGACUUGGGACCGGGAGAGGUCUGGGGUAUUCCAGGGGUAAGGGUAAAAUCUUGUAAUCCUUGGGAGACCACCCGUGGCGAAGGCGCCAGACCAGAACGGAUCCGACGGUGAGGGACGAAAGCCAGGGGAGCAAAGGGGAUUAGAUACCCCCGUAGUCCUGGCUGUAAACGAU